Molecule: long non-coding RNA, 1383 nt
Organism: Brassica oleracea var. oleracea
Lineage: Eukaryota; Viridiplantae; Streptophyta; Magnoliopsida; Brassicales; Brassicaceae
Exons: 2
Source: RefSeq, a predicted model, not a curated record
GGUUUUUGUUUGCUUUCAUCUCCGCCAUUCGAGAUAGAUAAACAAUCGAGUUCUGCGAUCCCUGUUUCAUCUUCUUCCUUAAAAUCCGAAAGCUACCAGUUACUUUUCAUCUUCUUAAAGUCCUUAUUAAAUCCUUCACCCACCCACGAUCUACCUUGAAUGCGAACUUCCCCAUGAAAGGCGGUGGAACUGCGACUAUAAAAAGAAUGGUCAAGGACGUACAGUAGUGUGUUCCAUCCACGAGAGGCUGAAACAUGGAGUCAUUCAUUAUACAACUUCAAAGUCUCUUGCAUCACAGCUUCCUCUCUCGGUGUUCAUCAACAAGUUUUGGUUUUGUUCCUUACUUUACUUUCUCCCUGGAAGUUGGUGUCUUAAUAGCGUUCUCACGGUCUUCUAGCUGUCAAUCGAAAGAUGUUCAGUGUCUCUUGGAUUUUGUAAAGUGAUGGUUUUUGUUCUAUUUUGGUGUAACUUCUAACCCGAGGCUGAGAGUUUCUAAAGCAGGUCACUUUUGUUGAUCUAAAACCCAUUACCAUAGAAUCUCAAGAUUAAGACUUUACAUGGGACUAGGUGUUUUUAGUUAGUGGUUCCUAUAGGAUAUAUAAAGUUUGCUUUUUAUUUGGUGCUAGCUUCGUAUAUAUGGUCUUAACAUAUUUUUGAUUGAGUUUCAGAUGAUAGCCGUCAAUGGGCAGUUUCCAGGACCUCUGUUUAAUGCUACGACCAUCUACAAUGUUGUUGUUAGAGUCUAAAUUGGAUGAGCCUCUUCUUUUAACUUGCUGAGUCCAAGAGCUUUCUUUCUAUACCAACUGAUCAGUUAUCAAUAAAAUGUAUUGUUCUCAUUUGCUAUGUGACUACUAAUAUGCUUCUUUGAGUUCUUUUAAUUUGUUUUUUGGAAUAGGCAUGGGCCACCUGGCAUCCAAAUGCGGCGUAACUUGUGGCAAGACGGUCUUCAGGUGGAAGAUUAAAUUGGAAGCUUCUUCUACUCUCUCUGACUCAACUCUCAGAGAGCAUAUGGUAAUUUUGUUCAUGUUGUGAUUAGUAACCGGAAAAUUAAUCUUAUCCUUUUCGCACGGCCUGACUGCGAAAUGGUACACUCAUGACCAUAAAGUAUGUAAUCAUCACUUUGGUCUUUUGUCUGCGUUUCAUCAUCAUUGCCCUUUUUGGUCUUUUGUAGAUAGCCCGAACUUGACGUAUCGGCGAGUGUGUUACUAUAAACUGCAGACUUUUGUAGAUUGUCUCUAAGCUUCUCCACCGUUAGUCUGAUUGGUAAAAUUAUGAAUUUUAAAUUCUUCAAGUACAAACUUGCAUGAGUACUUACAAUGUUAAUGGUGAGAAUGAGAUUACAACAAUGUGCGUCGUAAAUAAAUUGGUAUUUUAGUCUACGAA